This 450-nucleotide ribosomal RNA is filed under the name uncultured bacterium. RNAcentral's name for it is "bacterial SSU rRNA". It matches the Rfam family "Bacterial small subunit ribosomal RNA", at positions 328 to 793 of the family's 1533-position model. The record is from RNAcentral.
CGCUAUCACUCCUACGGGAGGCAGCAGUGGGGAAUCUUGGACAAUGGGCGCAAGCCUGAUCCAGCCAUGCCGCGUGAGUGAUGAAGGCCCUAGGGUCGUAAAGCUCUUUCGCCUGUGAAGAUAAUGACGGUAGCAAGGUAAAGAAACCCCCGGCUAACUCCGUGCCAGCAGCCGCGGUAAUACGGAGGGGUUAGCGUUGUUCGGAAUUACUGGGGCGUAAAGCGCGCGUAGGCUGACUAUUAAGUCAGAGGUGAAAUCCCCGGGCUCAACCCCGGAACUGCCUUUGAUACUGGUAGUCUUGAGUUCGAGAGAGGUAAGUGGAAUUCCGAGUGUAGAGGUGAAAUUCGUAGAUAUUCGGAGGAACACCAGUGGCGAAGGCGGCUUACUGGCUCGAUACUGACGCUGAGGUGCGAAAGUGUGGGGAGCAAACAGGAUUAGAUACCCUGGUAG